Molecule: long non-coding RNA, 296 nt
Filed under: Ananas comosus (pineapple)
Lineage: Eukaryota; Viridiplantae; Streptophyta; Magnoliopsida; Poales; Bromeliaceae
Description: long non-coding RNA (ACOM_LNC012420)
Source: RNAcentral
CUAUUCACUUAAGUUAUUACAACAGGUCGCGUAACUUCUCCAUCUUAACUCGUGCACUCCUGAAACUUGACGAAUACUUAUGUAAUUAAAUUACACACAAAAACAUCGUCAAUAAAGAGUUUAACUACAAAGCCAAAACCUCAAUCCUCACAACGGCGGGGCGUGACUAUGAUUCAUCAUGUUUAAUAGCACGAAUCGUAGAUUUGCAUGUGAUUAUAUGAAAUUUGAAUUUGGAGUAUGAUUUAGAUAUUUUAGAUAAUUACUACAUGCUAAAUUAGGAAUUGACUUGAAGAAAA